This 442-nucleotide ribosomal RNA is filed under the name uncultured bacterium. RNAcentral describes it as "SSU rRNA". It matches the Rfam family "Bacterial small subunit ribosomal RNA", at positions 26 to 518 of the family's 1533-position model. The record is from RNAcentral.
AGAACGAACGCUGGCGGCAGGCUUAACACAUGCAAGUCGAGCGCCCCGCAAGGGGAGCGGCAGACGGGUGAGUAACGCGUGGGAACAUACCCUCCGGUUCGGAAUAGCUCAGGGAAACUUGGAUUAAUACCGGAUACGGCCUAGCGGCGAAAGAUUCAUCGCCGGAGGAUUGGCCCGCGUUCGAUUAGCUAGUUGGUGAGGUAACGGCUCACCAAGGCGACGAUCGAUAGCUGGUCUGAGAGGAUGAUCAGCCACAUUGGGACUGAGACACGGCCCAAACUCCUACGGGAGGCAGCAGUGGGGAAUAUUGGACAAUGGCGCAAGCCUGAUCCAGCCAUGCCGCGUGAGUGAUGACGGCCUUAGGGUUGUAAAGCUCUUUCGCUAGGGACGAUAAUGACGGUACCUAGACAAGAAGCCCGGCUAACUUCGUGCCAGCAGCCGC